Lagopus muta (rock ptarmigan) is the source of this 906-nucleotide long non-coding RNA. RefSeq lists it as uncharacterized. The transcript has 3 exons. Lineage: Eukaryota; Metazoa; Chordata; Aves; Galliformes; Phasianidae. The record is from RefSeq and is a predicted model, not a curated record.
CACCAGGCCUGGGGGCAGAGCGCUGUGCCGGUGGUUCCGGAGGAAGAGGAGGCAGUAGUGCAAAUCCAGAGUGUGGAGGUGCUGCAUUCUGCUCCUCACUGCCGCUCCAACGCCAACCCGAAGAGCAACCACCAAGAGCCCCAAAGCAAACCGCGUCCCCAGCCAUAACCAGAACUCCAAGCUGAGCCUCAAGCACGGCCAUCAGCCCAGCUGACUUGCGGAAACUCCGUGACCACAAAGGAGCGAUAAAAGCAGAGGAAUUGCCUGAGUUGCCACCCCUGCGCAGCCGGAUCCGUGUCACCUUUGUGGUGAAAAGCAGCCGAGAACAGGCGAUGUCAGGAAGGAGAGCAGUCAGCUGCCAGCGUCCCGGGGGCAUCUUCUGCCAAAAAGCAGCCUCAGAACAAAAGAAGGGAAAAUGCUCUGCCAAAAACAAAGCGACAGAGAUGGGUCCGGCACAGGCAGCGCAACCUGCAGGUGGCAAAGGAGAAGAACACGGCGCGGUGAAGCCCCCGGUGGAGGAGGAGAGCUGGAAAAGGCCCAGGCCGAGCUCAGAAAGCACUGCGGAGCCCCAGCCCUGCACCAAGCACCGCUGGCAGCCCUGCGGUCCUCGAGCAGCUGCAGCGCCUCUGCUGCGGUGCCACGGACACAAAGGGGACCAGAUGUGUGCAGAGUCAGCCGCCAGAGAGCAAAGCGGGGCUCCCCAGGAGCGGGACGGCCUGUCCACACCGAGCAGGGCAUGGGGUGCAAGGAGAAGCAGAGCCCCACCUGAGGCUGCAGAGCAGAUGCACGAUUCCUAUCCACGCCAUUCCUGAAGCCUUCUUUGGUUCUGGCUCACAGUUUGCUUGCUGAGGCGCUCCUUGCCAUGAGACUCCGACUUAUCCAGGAGAUGAGAGGUGGCAACCAACA